GAGCACGUAGGUGGGUUUGUAAGUCAGAUGUGAAAGCCUUCUGUUCAACGGAAGAAUUGCAUCUGAAGCUGCGAGUCUUGAGUGUAGGAGGGGAGAAUGGAACUUCUGGUGGAGCGGUGAAAUGCGUAGAUAUCAGAAGGAACUCCGGCGGCGAAAGCGAUUCUCUGGCCUAUUACUGACACUCAGUGUGCGAAGGCUAGGGGAGCAAACGGGAUUAGAUACCCCGGUAGUCCUAGCCGUAAACGAUGGGCACUAAGUAGAGGGGUUUU
This 269-nucleotide ribosomal RNA is filed under the name uncultured Planctomycetales bacterium. RNAcentral's name for it is "partial 16S ribosomal RNA". It matches the Rfam family "Bacterial small subunit ribosomal RNA", at positions 565 to 832 of the family's 1533-position model. The record is from RNAcentral. Lineage: Bacteria; Pseudomonadati; Planctomycetota; Planctomycetia; Planctomycetales.